RNAcentral lists this ribosomal RNA (433 nucleotides) under uncultured bacterium. RNAcentral describes it as "partial 16S ribosomal RNA". It matches the Rfam family "Bacterial small subunit ribosomal RNA", at positions 29 to 507 of the family's 1533-position model. The record is from RNAcentral.
AAUGAACGCUGGCGGCAUGCCUAACACAUGCAAGUCGAACGAGACCUCCGGGACUAGUGGCGUACGAUUUUGUAACGCGUCGGAACCGGCCCUUAGGGACGGAAUAACUCAGAGAAAGUUGAGCCAAUACCGGAUGAUGUCUACGAACCAAAGAUUUAUUGCCCUUGGAUGGGCACGCGUUGGAUUAGCUCGUUGGUAGGGUUAAGGCCUACCAAGGCGUCGAUUCAUAGCUGGUCUGAGAGAAUGAUCAGCAACACUUGGACUGAGACACGGCCCAGACUCCUACGCAAUGCAGCAGUGGGGAAUAUUGGAAAAUGGGCGAAGGGCUGAUCCAGCAAUGCCGCGUAAGUGAUGAAGGCCUUAGGGUUGUUAAGCUCAAUUACCCGAGAUGAUAAUGACGGUAUCGGGAGAAUAAGCUCCGGCUAACUACGUG